GGGGCUAUAGCUCAGUUGGAAGAGCGCCUGGUUCGCAAUCAGGAGGUCGGCGGUUCGAGCCCGCCUAGCUCCA
RNAcentral lists this transfer RNA (73 nucleotides) under Solirubrobacterales bacterium. RNAcentral's name for it is "tRNA-Ala". It matches the Rfam family "tRNA". Rfam says of the family: Transfer RNA (tRNA) molecules are approximately 80 nucleotides in length. The record is from RNAcentral. Lineage: Bacteria; Bacillati; Actinomycetota; Thermoleophilia; Solirubrobacterales. RNAcentral also lists the same sequence under 2 other names.